CAAGACAGUAGAACGGAAGUGAUGUCGGAAUCGCGGUAGCCACUGUAACCAGGCCCACGGCCCAGACCAAGAAGGAGGCCCCGACCUGGCCGAGCCGAGGGCUGACCCUGCCCUUACUCCUGACGUUCGGGGACAUUCAGGCUGCGUCCUGACUGCGAUGAGAGCCCAGCAUCAACUCUAGCGAGAACCAGCGGAGAAAACAGAUGCGGAAGGCAGGGCGGCAGACCCCAGCCGGGCUCCGGGCGCGGCGGCUCCAGGCCCCGGGCGCCAGUGGGGGUGCACAGCUUCCCAGAGGCCAGCAGUCGCUGGAAGACGCCUUCGGUGCCAAACCAGCGGGAGAACCUGCCCUGGGGCCACUAUAAACAGCUGCAGGACCCAGUAAUGGCUCUGGAAUUCCUGCAGUGGGUUUCACAGCGUCAGUGAUGGGUACUUGAACCUCAGUUCCUGUCUCAGCAAAAUGAGUUUUCAGAGUGGUCAUUUAUGGAUGUGAGAGUUGGACUGUGAAAAAAGCUGAGAGCCGAAGAACUGAUGCUUUUGAACCGUGGUGUUGGAGAAGACUCUUGAGAGUCCCUUGGACUGCAAGGAGAUCCAACCAGUCCAUCCUAAAGGAGAUCAGUCCUGGGUGUUCAUUGGAAGGACUGAUGCUGAAGCUGAAACUCCAGUACUUUGGCCACCUUAUGCGAAGAGUUGACUCAUUGGAAAAGACCCUGAUGCUGGGAGGGAUUGGGGGCAGGAAGAGAAGGGGACGACAGAGUUUGGGAUGGCUGGAUGGCAUCACCGACUCGAUGGACAUGAGUUUGAGUAAGCUCCAGGAGUUGGCGAUGGACAGGGAGGCCUGGCGUGCUGCGAUUCAUGGGGUCUCAAAGAGUCGGACACGACUGAGCGACUGAACUGAAUCAUUAUUUCUUUACUUUUACUAAUAAUAAGAGUAAGAGACAGUAAAGAUGUGACUGAAAGCCUUGGCUCUGGAGCCAAAAUACCUGGGUUGAAAUCUCACGUCUACUAAUUACCAGCUGAGGAACGUUAGGAGGGUAGAACCUUCCCACGGCUACAGUUUCUUCAGUUCGCUUUUCAACGAGGAUAGUAAUAGGUCCCUUCCUCUCUAUGAGGAUUGAAUGAGUUAAUAUUUGUAAAGUGAUUAAUGCAUUGCCUGGUAGAUGGCCUUGUUGUUGUUUUACAGAUUAACAACCUAAAAGCUGAAAGUUAUGUUUUAUUCAGUGGGAAUUUUUAGGAUUUUAAGCCUGGAGACAGCAUCUCAAGUGACCCUGAGAGAACUGCUUGGAGAAGGUGAGGGGAGGAGCCAAGUUAUAUAGAAGUUUUGUAACAAAGGACAGGUAGUCUGAAUAUCAACAGAUUAUCAUUAAAGAAAACUAGAUAACCCAA
This is a long non-coding RNA of Dama dama (fallow deer), 1383 nucleotides long. RefSeq lists it as uncharacterized. Lineage: Eukaryota; Metazoa; Chordata; Mammalia; Artiodactyla; Cervidae. The transcript has 4 exons. The record is from RefSeq and is a predicted model, not a curated record.